UACAGAGGUCUCGAGCGUUGUUCGGAUUCAUUGGGCGUAAAGGGUGCGUAGGUGGCGCUGUAAGUCGGGUGUGAAAUCCUGAGGCUUAACCUCGGAACUGCAUUCGAUACUGCGGCGCUUGAGGACUGGAGAGGAGACUGGAAUUCAUGGUGUAGCAGUGAAAUGCGUAGAGAUCAUGAGGAAGACCAGUGGCGAAGGCGGGUCUCUGGGCCGAUACUGACGCUGAGGAGCGAAAGCGUGGGGAGCGAACAGG
This 253-nucleotide ribosomal RNA is filed under the name uncultured bacterium. Its description in RNAcentral is "partial 16S ribosomal RNA". It matches the Rfam family "Bacterial small subunit ribosomal RNA", at positions 524 to 776 of the family's 1533-position model. The record is from RNAcentral.